RNAcentral lists this ribosomal RNA (330 nucleotides) under uncultured bacterium. RNAcentral describes it as "bacterial SSU rRNA". It matches the Rfam family "Bacterial small subunit ribosomal RNA", at positions 568 to 898 of the family's 1533-position model. The record is from RNAcentral.
CGAGUAGGCGGUGGAGUAAGUCUGGGGUGGAAUCCUACGGCUUAACCGUAGAACUGCCUUAGAAACUGCUUUACUUGAGUCAGUGAGGGGAGGGCGGAAUUCCUGGUGUAGCGGUGAAAUGCGUAGAUAUCAGGAGGAAGGCCUGUGGCGAAGGCGGCCCUCUGGCACUGUACUGACGCUGAGGCGCGAAAGCGUGGGUAACAAACAGGAUUAGAUACCCUGGUAGUCCACGCCCUAAACGGUGGGCAUUAGGUGUAGGGCUCGUAAGGGUUCUGUGCCGAAGGGAAACCAUUAAAUGCCCCGCCUGGGGAGUACGGCCGCAAGGUUGAA